Molecule: long non-coding RNA, 464 nt
Filed under: Homo sapiens (human)
Lineage: Eukaryota; Metazoa; Chordata; Mammalia; Primates; Hominidae
Description: HSALNT0320198
Source: RNAcentral
AUCAGUGUCUACACUUCUUAUGAGCAGACAAGAGCAGCAUCUGUGGCUGGAAGUUAAGUGUCCAUUUAGUCAACAAAUAUUUAUGAAGUGUCUGUGUAUCAGGCCCUAUGUUAGACCCUGGAUGAGGAACAAAUCAGUUUCUUCAAAAAAGCCCCAAUCUAUGCAAGAGGAAUCACAAUUUGUGGCCCAGUAACAGCUCCACAUAUCACCAUCACCACCACCAGAAAAAAAAAACUAAUUCAUACAAAUAAAGAAAUCUAGAUGAAUUUGAGAAAUUCGUCAUCGUUCCCUCCAAACUCUGUUUUGUCCAAUAGUCAAAAACAAAAAUGGAACCACCUUAUUGUUCAGAAUGUUUGUCUAAGCGUGUGACAUUAUGUUUGGCACCAAGAAUACAAAACUGAAUGGGUUCUGCUCAAGCUCUUUAGAUACUUUGCCAAUGAUGAAGGAAACAUAUUUGUAUUAUU